GCUCCCACACAGCCUUUCAGUGGGUACUGCGGACCUCAGGGAAAGUGCCCAAGUGGGAAUUCUCAGUGGCCCUGGCUCCUCUCUCAUUUGGGGCAGGGUCACAAGCCUGGCUGACUGCCUCCCAUGGUGCAUGUCCUUGCAUGAAGGAAGUGCUGACUCCCCCCAGCAGCCUGGAUAUGUGGCAGCGGCAGCAGGGCAGGUCACCUUCGUCUUCUGCCCCACAGAUGUGGGUUUUGAGAGUUCUGUGGGUACUGGCUUUGCUUCCGACCUGUUCCCAAAGGCUAGCAGAGGGGAACCCCGAGUGCUGAGGACGGAGCUCACAGAUUUGUGCUCGGGAGGGGCUCUACCACAGAGCCAAAUCGCCACCUAAGAUGCAGCUUGGAAGGAAGGAAGAAGCAUUUAUUCUGGCACACGGUUUCAGAGGAGGUACAGUCAAUCAUGGUGUGGCCAGCACAGCAGAAGGACUUUAUGACAGACAAAAUGCAAACAUGAAAAAUGAAGAUGAAUUUUCACACCCAUCUCAACUGUGCUUCAAUCAUUGCCAAUUUAUGGCCAAUCUCAAACUGUUUAUACCUUCACUUCCCAUUUUCUACACAAGCAGUCCAGCAUCUCCUGCAAGAUCGUGAGCCGAUGUCCGCAUGGUGGCCUUCCAUGGCUUCCUUAUUGCUGGUGUGACCAGGCACACUGGCCUCACCCUGGAAAUCUGUGACCCAGAGUAGAAUCAGCAGCCAGUGUCUUUGGGAAAGAGACCCAGCCUCUUGAGUUCUGGCAACUGGCUGUUUUGAGGUAAUAGGCCCACCGUGGAGUUCCCAGGCUCUCUAGGCCUUUGAAGAUUCUUAAAUACAAUAACCCUCAUUUGGUCUCAACUUCAUUAGAAUAAAGAUUCAAAACAGGAUAUAGAGCCUGCCAGCCAGAGCAGUCAACAUUUAUUUAGCCCUUUAGCCCACUGUCCCCAAGACACAGUGAGCUAAAUAAAGCAAUAAGGAAGGCCAGUGGUAGGUAGAUGGCAACUAGUGCCGUAUAAAAGAAAAGCCACAGGGUGGGGAGGCAGACACAUUGCGGGCUGGUGCUAUGUCUGCUUGGCACAAGCUAGAGUCAUUUGGGAAGAAGAAAUCUUAGCUGAGAAAAUGUCGCCAUUAGAUUGGCCUGUGGGCAAGCCAAUUUUCUUGAUUGAUAGCUGAUGUGGGAGGGACCAGCUCGGUAUGGGUGGAGCCAACCCUAGGAAAGUGGUCCUAAGUAGUGCAGGAAAGCCAACUGAGCUAUCUAGGAGGGGCAAGUCAGUAAGCAACAUCCCUCCACGGCCUCUGCUCCAG
Peromyscus leucopus (white-footed mouse) is the source of this 1313-nucleotide long non-coding RNA. RefSeq lists it as uncharacterized. The transcript has 3 exons. The record is from RefSeq and is a predicted model, not a curated record. NCBI's taxonomy places the organism in Eukaryota, Metazoa, Chordata, Mammalia, Rodentia, Cricetidae.